Molecule: long non-coding RNA, 306 nt
Organism: Oncorhynchus tshawytscha (Chinook salmon)
Lineage: Eukaryota; Metazoa; Chordata; Actinopteri; Salmoniformes; Salmonidae
Source: Ensembl
GGGUGGUGAGUUACCCCUGUAUAGAGUGGGGUUAGGGUGGUGAGUUGCCCCUGUAUAGAGUGGGGUUAGGGUGGUGAGUUAGCCCUGUAUAGAGUAGGGUUAGGGUGGUGAGUUACCCCUGUAUAGAGUAGGAGUGGGGUGGUGAGUUACCCCUGUAUAGAGGAGUGGGGUGGUGAGUUACCCCUGUAUAGAGUGGGGUUAGGGUGGUGAGUUACCCCUGUAUAGAGUAGGGUGGUGGGUUAGGGUGGUGAGUUACCCCUGUAUAGAGUAGAGUUAGGGUGGUGAGUUACCCCUGUAUAGAGUCGG